This 950-nucleotide ribosomal RNA is filed under the name uncultured organism. RNAcentral describes it as "bacterial SSU rRNA". It matches the Rfam family "Bacterial small subunit ribosomal RNA", at positions 462 to 1427 of the family's 1533-position model. The record is from RNAcentral.
AUGCGGUAUGACGGUACCCUUUCGAAUAAGAGGUUGCUAACUCUGUGCCAGCAGCAGCGGUAAUACAGAGACCUCGAGCGUUAUCCGGAUUUACUGGGCGUAAAGCGUCUGUAGGGGGUUUGUUAAGUUCCAAGUAAAAUCUUAAGGCUCAACUUUAAGUUCGCUUGGAAAACUAAUAAACUGGAGUCCAGCAGAGGUGCAUGGAACUUGCGGUGUAGGAGUGAAAUCCGUUGAUAUCGCAAGGAACACCAAAGGCGAAGGCAUUGCACUGGGCUGGUACUGACCCUGAGAGACGAAAGCGUGGGGAGCAAAACGGAUUAGAUACCCGUGUAGUCCACGCCGUAAACGAUGGAUACUAGAUGUUCGGGGAUUCGACCCCCUGGGGUGUCACAGCUAACGCGUUAAGUAUCCCGCCUGGGAAGUACGGCCGCAAGGCUAAAACUCAAAGGAAUAGACGGGGAUCCGCACAAGCGGUGGAGCGUCUGGUUUAAUUUGAUAGUAAGCAAUGGACCUCACCAAGGUUUGACAUCCUAUGACAACCCUGGAAACAGGGCUUCCUUCGGGCAUAGUGACAGGUGCUGCAUGGUCGUCGUCAGUUCGUGCCGUGAGGUGUUCCGUUAAGUCGGGAAACGAACGAAACCCUCGUCGCAUGUUACAAAUUUCAUGCGAGACUGCCCGGGUCAACCGGGAGGAAGNCGGGGAUGCCGUCAGAUCAGCAUGGCCCUUAUACCUUGGGCUACACAGGCGCUACAAUGGCCGGUACAAAGGGUUGCAAAACCGCGAGGUGAAGCUAAUCCCAUAAAGCCGGUCCAAGUUCGGAUUGGAGGCUGCAACUCGCCUCCAUGAAGUUGGAAUCGCUAGUAAUCGUGGAUCAGCCAUACCACGGUGUUACGUUCCCGGAUCUUGUACUCACCGCCCGUCACACCAAGAGAGUUGGUAGCUCCUGAAGC